UUUUAUGUAUGUUACUUCAGAACUUUUGACUGGGUAGACCGAUUUCGACAAAUUUUGUUUUAAUCGAAAGGUGGUGUGUGCCAAUUGGUCCCAUCUAAAUUUAUUUGAGAUCUAACAACUACUUUUCGAGUUAUAUCUAAUAAUGCGUUUUUACUUGACGCUUCUUUCGUCGACCUACGUUGUAUUAUACCGCAUAACUUUCUACUGGAUGUACCGAUUUUGAUAAUUCUUUUUUUGUUGGAAAGGGGAUAUCCCUAGUUUGGUACCGUGAUAAGGACACUAGGAUCUGAUGAUGGGAUCCCAGAGAAAUCGAGGGAAACUCUCAAAAA
Molecule: unclassified non-coding RNA, 329 nt
Filed under: Melitaea cinxia (Glanville fritillary)
Lineage: Eukaryota; Metazoa; Arthropoda; Insecta; Lepidoptera; Nymphalidae
Description: misc RNA ENSMCXG00005021635.1
Source: RNAcentral